CUCCAUAAACCUUAUAAUCAUCGUCCACUACCGAUCCAACCGUGCAACCUCCAUGGUAAUGGUAGUAGGUCCUCACAUUCGCUUUGCAGAAUUUCCUUUGCCCAUCCGUGCUAGUCAUCAAGUUAUUUUGAGGUUUAACACCAAGGGAAUGCAAUCUUGGCAGCUAUUGGCAUUCUCGUUGCAUUGAAGCCUGUCGGUAUAAUACCUCCUUCAAUUAUGAACUUGAGGUCUUUUGCAAUCCCUGAAACUUGAGGGGGGUCUGGUAGUCGAUUUUGUGGAUUUGUGUCCACCAAAACAGCAAUACUAGGAUUAUCUUUCAUUUUUUUCCCUACUCCUUUCAGGUUUACCACAUGUGGGAUGCUGAACUUCUUGAAGUGUUCACGGUGUCCAAUGCCACUUGACAAUAGAAUUUGAGGGCUACCUAAUGCCCCGGCUGACAAUAUCACAUCGCCAUUUGAAGUACAAUUCUUGGGUUGAUUCAGAUAGGCUUCAUAUGUUUGAUCCGUGGUGCCAUCACUCUUUAUGAACCUUAUGCCCUUCACUGUCGUCUCACUUGCAUUGCCUGCAGAUAUUUACAACUAUGAGAUAAUAGUAUUCAAUACCUUUGUUUAGAGCUAUUACUUUCAUUUAAUUUUGCUUACCGUUGCCCUCGAAGACGAUGUUUUUCACUGUUGCAUUGAGAGCAACUACAAUAUUUUUGGGAUUUGCAGCCUUCAGAAGAUCGGCUGAGGUAUGUCUUAUGCCCCAUACAUCAAAUAUACUUCCACCAAUCUUUGUUCCUUCGAUAUGUUCUAAACUAUAGCCAUUAUAAGGUAAAAUCCCAGCUUCAAGAAGGCCAAAUUCCACAACGGUCUGCCAUGGUGUUAAUUCAGGUAUAGAGACUAUUUUAGAUUCCACCCAGGUAUAAGCAUCCUUAACCAAUUCCUUAUCCCAGCCAACCUUGUCGAUAAAAUCCUCACUAGCUCGACUAUAGAAUCCUCCAUUUAUAGCUGAAGAUCCACCCAGUACUCGUCCUCUACAGUUCCUAACACCAUCAGCUGACUUGAAGUCUUGUGCUACUGAUGAAAAUUCAUCUGUUUGAAUCAAUGAGAAACCAUAAUAUCUUUUCUCCAUCACCCAGGGAUUGCCAUAAGGUGAUCCACCUCGUUCUACCAAUAGGACCGAGAAUUUCUCGGAAAGGGUUGCUGCCAGGGGGCACCCAGCAGUGCCUCCUCCUACAACAAUGUAAUCAAAGGAUUUACCUGCCACCUCUUUCACAUCAGAGGUCAUGUAAGGAAGUUCUCCUACAACGGACAAGGUUAACAAGUUAUUAUAAUGGAUUCUGAAGGCUUGAAAAUGGAAAUUCAGCUAAUAAAAGAAACACCCUUACCUUGAGUCUGAGAGGGAGAACAUAAAGACAGGUCAACAAACAAGAAGAUAAAUGCUAUGAGAAUCCUGUCAUGGUGAACAGUGUUUUGAAACUUAAUUGCUUCCAUUGAUUAGCAUUGGGUUAAGGAGGACAGGUAGACAAUUUAUGUUAAUUCUGUGUGGGGGCUCCUCAAUGAUUUGAGUCUCUCAGGACCUAGCCACUAACGGUGUAGCUAAUCUAAUGAUUUGCUGGUUUGUUUGGAGACCUACAAAAUGAUUUUGCUGCUAUGAUGAUUACUUCUCCUUCAAGUUAGGCGCAUUAAAUGGUAGAGAGGCAGGCUUAAUCAUACCCCUGGCUCAACAUCUUUUGCAAAAUAUACAAUAAAUACUUUUAAAUAGAUUACUAUGAUUACAAUAA
Gossypium raimondii (Peruvian cotton) is the source of this 1765-nucleotide long non-coding RNA. RefSeq lists it as uncharacterized. NCBI's taxonomy places the organism in Eukaryota, Viridiplantae, Streptophyta, Magnoliopsida, Malvales, Malvaceae. The record is from RefSeq and is a predicted model, not a curated record. The transcript is spliced from 2 exons.